GCCAGCAGCAUACCACCCUGCAUCCCACUGCUGGCUUGCUUCUAAAGCUAAGCAGGGUUGGUUCUGGUCACUCCCUGGAAUGGAGACCAAAUGCUGCUGGAA
RNAcentral lists this ribosomal RNA (102 nucleotides) under Hucho hucho (huchen). Lineage: Eukaryota; Metazoa; Chordata; Actinopteri; Salmoniformes; Salmonidae. The record is from RNAcentral.